UGAACCGGGGGGCUUGUUUUGCAGGCUGAGAUAAAGUAAUCUAACUUUGACCCGUUUAACCUGAUUUGGAUAAUGCCAACGUAGGAAAGUUUUUAU
This 96-nucleotide non-coding RNA is filed under the name human gut metagenome. RNAcentral's name for it is "TPP riboswitch (THI element)". It matches the Rfam family "TPP riboswitch aptamer (THI element)", at positions 8 to 91 of the family's 105-position model. Rfam says of the family: Vitamin B(1) in its active form thiamin pyrophosphate (TPP) is an essential coenzyme that is synthesised by coupling of pyrimidine and thiazole moieties in bacteria. RNAcentral also lists the same sequence under 1 other name. The record is from RNAcentral.